GCACUAGUAGCUCAGCAUCAGAGCGUCGGCCUUGUAAACCGAAGGCCGAGGGUUAAAUUCCCUCCUAUUGUU
RNAcentral lists this transfer RNA (72 nucleotides) under Anableps anableps (largescale foureyes). RNAcentral's name for it is "tRNA-Thr". It matches the Rfam family "tRNA". Rfam says of the family: Transfer RNA (tRNA) molecules are approximately 80 nucleotides in length. Their secondary structure includes four short double-helical elements and three loops (D, anti-codon, and T loops). The record is from RNAcentral. Lineage: Eukaryota; Metazoa; Chordata; Actinopteri; Cyprinodontiformes; Anablepidae.